Molecule: long non-coding RNA, 3878 nt
Filed under: Erythranthe guttata (spotted monkey flower)
Lineage: Eukaryota; Viridiplantae; Streptophyta; Magnoliopsida; Lamiales; Phrymaceae
Description: long non-coding RNA (EGUT_LNC001157)
Source: RNAcentral
UUUAGUCGAGUCUCUAUAAUAAAUUUCAGUUGGAAUUCAAGUUGAAAUUGUAUCUCACUCCGUUUUUCUAUCUGCAAAAAAGAGUUACCAUCAAUAAAAAUUUAAAACGUGCAAGAAAACUACGAAUCCAAAGCUAAUCACAUUCACCUCACCCUUACUAAUCCAAAAUCACAUGCUGUAUAGAAAAUAAACUACGAAUGCAAUCAAAGAAUGCCGCUUCCAAACACAGAUUUUAUAUCUUGACAAAAUUAAUUUUAUAACAAAAAAAUUGUUCCGAGUACGAAACUAUCUCAUCUAAGAAAACUAAUCUCUGUCUCACAAUUGUGUCCGCCAAUUGUCACAACAUGCCUCCCAUAUUUUUCGGGCAAUUUUUUAACUAUUCUAACAUUGAACUUAAUUAAUGUGACAAAAAAAUAUUUUUUGUCGUAAAAAAUUUAGGCGACGGUUUAAGUUUUCGUCACAAUUUCUCAUCAAUAAUGGGAAAAUAAUUAUUUUUGUCACAAAGAUUGUCACAAAAGAAGUUUUUUUUGUAGUGAGAAGUCAGAAUGCCGCCGUUUCUCUAGUUUAUAUGGCAUCGAAAAAACCUUCAUUUAAGAACAUGAGCUUAAUUACUGCACAAAUAUUUUUCACUUCGAGCAAGACUACGGCAUAAAGAAAUUUGACACUAGCACUUUAUGCAAUAAAAAGAUUCUGCAUCUAACCCAUGAAAUAACUUCCGUGUAAGACUUCUCUUUACAAAAAGAACAAGAAUUGUAAAUAAAGGCUUGUUUUACUGGGACAUAGAAACAAAAGCAGAAUCUUGUUUUAAACUAAGGCAAUAAUAUAAAUGAAUGGCGAAAUGCCGAAAUCAAGUCUUUUAGCAAAUCUCUAUAUCGGAAAACCCACACUUUUCCAUAUCCCAUGAACGACAAAUCGGUAGAACGAUCUCCACUUUUGUUCAACAUACAUACCAUGGUGUGUGUGUGUGGUGUGUGGUGUGUGUUUGUGUGUGUGUGUGUGUGUGUGUGUGUGUGUGUGUGUGUGUGUGUGUGUGUGUGUGUGUGUGUGUGUGUGUGUGUGUGUGUGUGUGUGUGUGUGUGUCUAUAUAUACACAUUGUACUCACUUCCCUUAAUUAGAGCUAUCAUCUAUUAAGUCGCUACUCUCGCUAAGUAGCCAUAAAUCUGGCGCAACGGACAACGAGAAGAUUCCAAACUUCGCAUUUAUUACAACUUCCGUAUCUAUCCACGUGCUUCAAACGCACAUUUCAUCCCAUCGCUCAUUAGAUCAAAUUCAAAUAGAAUUUAAUCAUAAAAGCUAUCACUUUCCCCAAACAAAACAGACUUCAUCCAAACCCUUGUCACAACACACAACCUAUGUUAAACCUAAAAAAAUGCCAUUGACAAACAUAAAUAAAAAAAAAAAUGAAAAAAAUAAACAAGAGAACUCCCACCAUUGACAUACGAAUUGAAGACUGAAAUGUAGAAGAAAAGAAAAAAAAAUCUUAGUGUGUAAAAUUAAUCAGAUAAGAUAGUACCGAAAAUCAAUUACGCCCAAAAUAAAAUUAAAACGAAAGAAAGCUAAUUCAAUUACAUUCAACAAUUACUUAAUUUUCGAAAGAAAAAAAAAACUUUCAAAAAAAGCCGAAGAAAGGGAAAUUAAACCUGAACUGGUUACUGAAGAGAUUCCGACCAUCUACAGUUUCAAAUGCAGUGUAAGGAAUUUUCGUACGGAGUAACUCUAUCGGUACCAUGAAAGCAUAAAGACGAAUUGGAUUAAUCGUAUUUGAAGUGAUGGAGAGCUUACCGGAAUGGGAUGUAAAUAUUUAUCGAGGAAUCUCCGGCGAAUCGUUGGAAUCAGUUGGGCAGUGGCGAUCGGAAAUGGACUGGCUGGAUUCGAAUUAGAAUUUUAGGGAUUUGACGAAAGGGGGGAAAGGAAGAACAGAAGAGGGGAUAUAAAUCUGGUAAUGGAGUUUGGAGCUUGAAAGAAUUAUAUUACAGGACUUUAUUGUAAUUACAUAAAUAGAUUUAAGAAUACAUCAAAAAAGUUAUUUUUUUAUUUUUUUGAAUGGAAAAAACAAAAUUAAUUAGUAAGUUCCUACUUCCUACUGCUAAAACUAUCUAUGAAUACAUGACGUCCGGUACGCUGAAAAGCCACUUGACCUACUAUUACAAAUUACAAAUGGGUAUUUUCCAUGUUUUUCAGGCCUUAAUCGCUCUGCAAACGUCCAAGACCCUUGUCCGCAAUCUUGUGUCGGACUGCCAAGACUCACUCUUGACAUCCCUAAGUCUUACUCCUCGUUCCUAGCUCGUGUCGGUUGUACGUCAAGCCACGCCAUUGCUCAACCGUCGAUAAUCAUUCCUUGCGUUCUUAGACAGGCACCCAAAUAGAUGUCUACUACUCGACCGCUCAUUGAACUAUGUGUUUUUGUCUUUUACCAUCUUUCACUUGGCACCAUUUAUCGGUCAUGACUCAGCCACACUCGAAUCAUAUAUAACAAAUUUCACGGGCUAAUGGGCUAACAAUAUCCCUAAAAAUAUAGAUUUUCUUUUUGAAUUUUGGAUGAUAAAUUUAAGCAUUAGGCGGGACUACAAAAAAAUAUCUAUGUAAAAUAAUAAAUAAAAGUGAGUGAAANNNNNNNNNNNNNNNNNNNNNNNNNNNNNNNNNNNNNNNNNNNNNNNNNNNNNNNNNNNNNNNNNNNNNNNNNNNNNNNNNNNNNNNNNNNNNNNNNNNNAUCAAUAAAAUUUUAAGACGUGCAAGAAAAAACCUUUAUUUAAGAAGAACAUGAUCUUAAUUACUGCACGAAUAUUUUUCACUUCAAGCAAGACUACGGCAUAAAGAAAUUUGACACUAGCACUUUAAUCAAUAAAAAGAUUCUGCAUCUAAACCAUGCAAACACUUCCCUGUAAGACUUCUCUUUACAAAAAUAACAAGAAUUGUAAAUACAGGAUCAAUGAUAACUUCUUUUCAUUGUCCAUGAUGUGUUCAUCGCGAUGCCGAAAUAAAUCUUAUUUUAAAAUAAGGUAAUAAUACGAAUGAAUGCCGAAAUCCAUAGACACAAAGAUCCAAAAUCGAGUCUUUUAGCAUAUCUCUAUGUUGGAAAAGCCACAAUCGCCACUUACAUUGAACAUACAUGCCACUGUGUGUGUGUGUGUCUAUAUAUACACAUUGUACUCACUUCCCUUAACUAGAGCUAUCAUCUAUUAAGUCGCUACUCUCGCUAAACGACCAAAAAUCUGGCGCAACGGCCAACGAGAAGAUUCCAAACUUCGCAUUUAUUACAACUUAACUUCCGUAUCUAUCCAUGUGCUUCAAUACGCACAUUUCAUCCUAUCUCUCAUUAGAUCAAAUGCAAAUAGAAUUUGAUCAUAAAAGCUUUUUUUUUCUCAAAGGCCAGAAAUCACUUUCCCCAAUCAAAACAGACUUCAUCCAAACCCUUAUCACAACACACAUAUAAUUAGACCUAAAAAUAAAUAAAUGAAAAAAAUAAACAAGAGAACUCCCACCAUUGACAUACGAAUUGAAGACUGAAAUGUAGAAGGAAAAGAAAAAUCUUAAAUGUGUAAAAUUAAUCAGAUAAGAAAGUACCGAAAAUCAAUUAAGCCCAAAUUAAACAUGAUAAACCAAAAUUAAAACGAAAGAAAACUAAUUCAAUUAAAUUCAAACAAUUACUGAAUUUUCGAAAGAAAAAAAAACAGUUCAAAAACGCCGAAGAAAGGGAAAUUAAACCUGAACUGGUGACUGAAGAGAUUCCGACAAUCUACAAUUUCAAAUGCAGUGAACGGAAACAGAAAAGAAGCUAAAAAUGAGAAGAAUUAAGAAUAGGGUUUUAUAGCAGAGAAUUGCACUGGUCACGAAUUCUAACUUCUGACUGCUUGGUCGGGAGAAAUGGAGAAGAGGC